This 783-nucleotide non-coding RNA is filed under the name Clostridium magnum DSM 2767. RNAcentral describes it as "Bacterial large subunit ribosomal RNA". It matches the Rfam family "Bacterial large subunit ribosomal RNA", at positions 1 to 789 of the family's 2925-position model. Lineage: Bacteria; Bacillati; Bacillota; Clostridia; Eubacteriales; Clostridiaceae. The record is from Rfam by way of RNAcentral.
GGUCAAGCUACAAAGGGCGCAUGGUGAAUGCCUUGGCACCAGAAGCCGAAGAAGGACGCGAUAAGCUGCGAUAAGCUUUGGGUAGGCGCAAAUAGCCAGUGAUCCAGAGAUUUCCGAAUGGGGCAACCCACAUUACGAGCAGUAAUGUACUGUAAACUGAAUUCAUAGGUUUAUAGAGGUAUACCCGGGGAACUGAAACAUCUAAGUACCCGGAGGAAGAGAAAGAAAAAUCGAUUUUCUAAGUAGCGGCGAGCGAAAGGGAAAGAGCCCAAACCAGGAACUUGUUCCUGGGGUUGCGGAUAGACCAUAAAUACUGCAAUUUUUUAACUGAAGAGAGCUGGAAGGCUCCGCCGUAGAAGGUAAAAGCCCUGUAAGUGAAAGAAAAGAGCAGUCAGGUCUAAUCCAGAGUACCACGAGACACGUGAAACCUUGUGGGAAGCAGGGAGGACCACCUCCCAAGGCUAAAUACUAACUGGUGACCGAUAGUGAAGCAGUACCGUGAGGGAAAGGUGAAAAGAACCCCGGAAGGGGAGUGAAAUAGAACCUGAAACCGUGUGUCCACAAUCAGUCGAAGCACUUUUAUGUGCGACGGCGUGCUUUUUGUAGAACGAGCCAGCGAGUUACGAUGUGUAGCAAGGUUAAAUACUUAAGGUAUGGAGCCGAAGGGAAACCGAGUCUGAAUAGGGCAAAGAGUUGCAUGUCGUAGACCCGAAACCGGGUGACCUAUCCAUGGACAGGUUGAAGCGGAAGUAAAAUUCCGUGGAGGACCGAACCACGUUGGUG